Molecule: long non-coding RNA, 4474 nt
Organism: Scylla paramamosain (green mud crab)
Lineage: Eukaryota; Metazoa; Arthropoda; Malacostraca; Decapoda; Portunidae
Exons: 3
Source: RefSeq, a predicted model, not a curated record
CAUACUCUCCCUCCUAAUCAUACCCUCAUCCUCCUCCUCAUCCACUUAACUUUUCCUUCUUCCUCUCAUCCUCUACUUCGAGUCUCUGUCUAAAGAAGGAAGGCCUCAACGAGACAACCCGAGCCGCUCCCUGCCAGCACGACAAGGUUCAUAAAGUUGCAGGGAGGCAGUGAGGAGGCAGGGAGGAGGCAGUGAAGAGGCAGGGGGAGGUGGCCCUUUAGUAGCUAAAUGCUUUGGGUUUAAGCGGCGCAGGUUUUGGAGUCAUGCUGGCGUGUGACUAUCUUGGGAGACUCGCUGCCUCCACAAGAAUACUAAAGAGGCAAGUUGAGGUCCAGUUUUCCUUUUAUUUCUUUAGUCUCUUCGCCUUUUCGUUAGUGUGCUGUGCUGUACUCCGUGCACUGCGAUGGCUCUGCUGUUAGUUGCCAUGCCAGAGAGAGAGAGAGAGAGAGAGAGAGAGAGAGAGAGAGAGAGAGAGAGAGAGAGAGAGAGGAUCUUGGGGACGUUUUCAAAAGGGAUUAUAGAUCUGUAGGAACCUGUGAUACCCAAGGUGUAAAAAGUUCCCCGUGACACCCAAAAGACUUGAUGGAUAUUAUUAGAGACGCUUGUUGGUAAUAUUUAGAAACAGCACUGGAAUAGACUCAGCUCCAGUUAUUAAAUGCCAUUCACUUCACACAUAGGUUUGCUCUUCCGUGCACCAAAGUAUCAACGUCCACAGCACCUGGUUAUGAUUUUGACCUAGUUAAAGAAUUUGCUGUUCGCUUAAUCCCAUCCCUCAACGUGGCUUAGGCUCAUGCAACCCUCCCCUGUGUGUAGAUGAAGCCCGUGGAGGUGUAGACGUAAGAGUAUAUCAACAAGGCAGAUGGAAGAUUGACAUGAGGAAAUCAAUCAAGACUCUAGAAUAUGUUGAUCGCCUAAUUCCAUAUUUUAAAGUGUCUUAGACUCUUGCAACGUUCCUCUGUGUGUAGAUGAAGAGCGUGGAGGUGCGGGUGUACGAGUAUGUUAAUAGUGAAGAUGGAAGACUGAAAUAAGAAAAUCAAUUAAGAGUGUGAGCGACGUGGAAGAACAUUCUUUUCCUAUUUUUGGAGGCGAAGUGAGGUUGCUAUGGUCAAAAAUUCAGAGUACCUCAUCAUAUUAGCAGGUAAUCUAUUUUCUCCAACUUUUCUUUUUAAUUUCCUUCCCCCAAAUAACUUUUUUCCGAGCCUUUGUCUUUCCCUUCUGCUGCGAGUACCUGGCCAACCCUUCGCUCGCUAAUCACCCAUCAACACCUGACGUUUUGUUGGAAACCCGCCCUGCCGAGUUGUCACUUCUUUUUCAUUACGAAGACUUCAGGAUUACGUCACCACCGGGAGCCUAACGCCUUCUUUUGUCAGAUCGAAGGAUGCUAAAUUUAGACUUCCCUUUUUUGCUCCUUGAAAUUGGGUUCAUUAAUUCUCGAUCAGUUAGAAUUUUUUGCGAGAACCUUUUUUUCAGAUUUUGUUACGGGUACCUGAUAUAUAUUUUCAUCUUUGCUCAUUAUGGUAUGCUUGUUUUUAAUAUUUUCUUUUUUUUUUUGUUUUGUUUUUAGUAAAGUUUCUCUUAAUGUACCUAAUUAGUUUACGUUCUACAUGUUAUUUGUUUUUGCGUACCUAUGUUGAGUUUGAAUUGUUCUGGUAUUCAUUUUGCUUUACUUGAUUAUCUUUUUUUUUUUCAUAUUGUAUCUUUAACAUAGAAUUAUUAUUAUUGUUAUUAUUAUUAUUAAUUUUUUUUUUCAUUAUUUCGACUCCAUUUGCGUCUAUCAAAUCUUUUUACAAAUGGUAGGCAAAAAUUAUUAAAGUUUCUCUUCACGUUGUCCUCAUUCUCAGUUACAUGCGUUUUUGUGAACAGUUUUAGCUUCAUGUGUCAUCAUCUUUCAUCAUGUACAGUUUUCCUUUCUCAUGCACUGCUGCUUCUUGCUUUCAGGUGAGCGUGUGAUCUCUCUAAUUAGCGUAGCGGCACAUUUUAACUGUCGCUGUGCGUGUAGGAAUUCCCUGCAGGGCGAGGCUCGGCACACGCCUUGGACGCGGCGUCAGGAUGACCUUUGACCUUCGGAAAGCCAGGUGAGUACUCCACUUUACCUCGGCCACCCCGGAGACAUGAACUUAGCGUGGCCUUGCGUCACCUUCCUUCAUCAAUAUUUCCACCCAACCUUGUCCAUCUCUGCCCUCCGCUCCUCCACCAGCGUCCUCCGUAACCUCUGACGCAUUAACCUUUCUUGUGUGUUUGAGCUCUUCACUACCAUUCUAAUCUCUCUCUGAAAGACACCACUUGCACAUCCUAAUUGACCCUCGAGAAUGCCCCUUACUGGUCCGUUUGAAGUUAAUCCCUUCGCCCUUCGUACCCUGCUUCAAUGUUCGUUUUUAUACAUGAGUCUGGUGAUGUGUCAUAUGUGGAGAUUUUUUUCAAAUGUGAUGCUCAGCUCGAUACUUCUGUCUGUUCGGUGACCAGUCACUGAUAAUGGCAUUGGAAAACACUGCAGGGUAUCUCAGAUUAGUGAAAUAAUUUUUGCUCGCUACAUUAUGCGUGGGUGAUAAUGGAAAUAUUUCUUUACACUCAAUAUGCUACUUCGUCACGCUUUCCAUUCACAACCACUUGAAUAACUGCCGUACUGUACACUAUUAUGCUAAUAUACAGAAGUUUAAAAAUAUACAUUUUUAUUGGAAAGCAGCAUAUGGUGUUAUUUCCUGUUUUCUCUUACCCGUAUUCCCACCUCAGUAUUCGUAGAUUUCCACGAGCACAUUGUAAUUUUUCAAGUCCAUCCGCUGGAAGUUUAAUUUUCUUUGAGCAAAUUUACACCCUAAGCGGUCGCGUUUUCUGUCAUCGGAACGUAGCGGAGCGAUCCACGCGGACCGCUGUAGGCGUAGGGGCGCUGCAAUAACACUGGCUGUCCACCACGCUCCACUCCCUCACAAUGGCGGGGAAGGACCAAUGGCUUUGUUCCCUGCGCCCUCAGUCUGAGUAGAAGCAGCUUUUGUUGAAUGUGGGUUUUGUCCUCUUGUUGUUGUGCUGUUGUAUUGUUUUCCUUGUGUUGUGUUGACUCGCGUUAGGUCUCUUUCUCAGUCAGUCCACGUGUAUGUUGUCCAUUCUUGUCCCAGUUUGCGUCCUCGUCAGUAAUGAUUCUGCCUUGAUUCAGUUGAACUUCCUGGAAUUCUUGUAUGCGAUUUAUUAUUUCAUCUGGGUAAACAUGAAGACGUUCUUAAUGCACGUGGAAGAGAGGAACGGGAAACGGAGACGUGUAGGAGAAAAGUUAACGAAGAUAUGAGAGAGAGAGAGAGAGAGAGAGAGAGAGAGAGAGAGAGAGAGAGAACUGCUGCAGGAAGAUGUAUUAAAAUGCUGAGACAAGAAAAGUGAUAAAAGGUACACGCUGAGGAACAUGGGGCAGGGUGCUGGGGAAUGGAACUGAAGCCCUGGAUAGCAAUUAUACUUAUUUUUUUUUAUAUCCAUUCUUAAUCAUUCACCUUAAAACCAUAAGUUGGGCUCCAUGUUUUUAAAUGGUCCACAAGUCCACCGAAAGGGAGGAAUACAAAAAGGAGAAAGAGGAGGAGGAGGAGGAGGUACGUAGGUGAUGUUGAGGUGGUAGGAGACGACACGCUGUAAAGGAGCUUGGAGGCUGCUUAUGGUAUGGACAUUUAUAGCACACCCUGCGCGACUGAAUUUAUAAAGGCUCAACGCAGGUAAAUGUCCUGCGCACCUACUGCUGCUGCUCUUCAGAUCUCCAUAAAAAUAAAUAACUAAAUAUAUUAAGGUAGAAUAGAUUAAUUAAUUGAUUUUAUUAAAAUAGAAUAAAAAUAAACGGCUCUUUAAGAAAAUGACAAGUUAAUGAUUAACAUUAUAUUUAAGACUUGGCUGUCUUAUCAUUCCUGCGUACUGUGAUGUUUGUCAGUGGGCGAAACAGUUAUUGCUUGGAAACGUGUGUCUCAGGAAGCUUUUAUAAAGGAGCCUUGUACAGUAUAUCCCGAAACGUUAUUAGAAAAAAAAAAAAGGAAAUUUUUCUGGUUUGUCUACAACAUACUGAUCAACAUAGUAAUCAACAUAGGCUUUUCAUUUUCUCACAAGAGUGUGUGUGUGUGUGUGUGUGUGUGUGUGUGUGUGUGUGUGUACUAGACACUGUUAUGUUCUUAUUCGUAUACUUAUAACACCUACCAUUGUGUGAGGAACAGAGGAGGUGAAAUGUAUCAAUAGGAAAGUAGUGUAGCUGGAUGUGGCAGCCAAAACAAGUUGUCUCCAGAGUGAGGUGUGUCACCCGGGACGCAGGACUUUUGAACUGUUUGAUUGAGGGACAAGUCAUAAUGCCAACACAAUCGGAGGUGUCGUGUAAACAUCCAGGUAACCACUUCCCUGAUACAAUAACGAGCUGGUUGGAUGGAGAGCAGACUCAUCCCAGAUGCAAGGACUUAACGAACGAGCUUAGUCUGUAUCCUAUACAACCCUAUACAAGUUUUAUUUGUAUAAAUAAAGA